UACGGGGGGGGCAAGCGUUGUUCGGAAUUACUGGGCGUAAAGGGCUCGUAGGUGGCCAACUAAGUCAGACGUGAAAUCCCUCGGCUUAACCGGGGAACUGCGUCUGAUACUGGAUGGCUUGAGUUCGGGAGAGGGAUGCGGAAUUCCAGGUGUAGCGGUGAAAUGCGUAGAUAUCUGGAGGAACACCGGUGGCGAAGGCGGCAUCCUGGACCAACACUGACGCUGAGGGAGCGAAAGCCAGGGGAGCAAACGGG
RNAcentral lists this ribosomal RNA (254 nucleotides) under uncultured bacterium. RNAcentral's name for it is "partial 16S ribosomal RNA". It matches the Rfam family "Bacterial small subunit ribosomal RNA", at positions 524 to 776 of the family's 1533-position model. The record is from RNAcentral.